RNAcentral lists this signal recognition particle RNA (148 nucleotides) under Macaca fascicularis (crab-eating macaque). RNAcentral describes it as "Metazoan signal recognition particle RNA (ENSMFAG00000055351.1)". It matches the Rfam family "Metazoan signal recognition particle RNA". From Rfam's summary of the family: The signal recognition particle (SRP) is a universally conserved ribonucleoprotein. It is involved in the co-translational targeting of proteins to membranes. The eukaryotic SRP consists of a 300-nucleotide 7S RNA and six proteins: SRPs 72, 68, 54, 19, 14, and 9. The record is from Rfam by way of RNAcentral. Lineage: Eukaryota; Metazoa; Chordata; Mammalia; Primates; Cercopithecidae.
GCUGGGCGUGGUGGCGCAUGCCUGUAGUCCCAGCUACUUAGGAGGCUGAGGUGGGAGGAUCACUUGAGCCCGGGAGGUCAAGGCUGCAGUGAGCCAUGAUCACACCACUGCACCCCAGCCUGGGUGACAGAGUGAGACCCUGUCUCAA